This 314-nucleotide ribosomal RNA is filed under the name uncultured bacterium. RNAcentral describes it as "partial 16S ribosomal RNA". It matches the Rfam family "Bacterial small subunit ribosomal RNA", at positions 499 to 809 of the family's 1533-position model. The record is from RNAcentral.
UUAUAAGAGACAGCAGCCGCCGCGGUAAUACGAAGGGGGCUAGCGUUGUUCGGAAUUACUGGGCGUAAAGCGCACGUAGGCGGAUAUUUAAGUCAGGGGUGAAAUCCCAGAGCUCAACUCUGGAACUGCCUUUGAUACUGGGUAUCUUGAGUAUGGAAGAGGUGAGUGGAAUUCCGAGUGUAGAGGUGAAAUUCGUAGAUAUUCGGAGGAACACCAGUGGCGAAGGCGGCUCACUGGUCCAUUACUGACGCUGAGGUGCGAAAGCGUGGGGAGCAAACAGGAUUAGAUACCCGUGUAGUCCCUGUCUCUUAUAA